GUGUUCACUUCAGCAGUACAUAUACUAACAUUAGAAAGAUACAGAGAUUAGCGUGUUCCCUGUGCAAGGAUGACGCUCGAAUUUGAGAAGCAUUGCAUAUUUUU
This is a small nuclear RNA of Myodes glareolus (Bank vole), 104 nucleotides long. The record is from RefSeq and is a predicted model, not a curated record. Lineage: Eukaryota; Metazoa; Chordata; Mammalia; Rodentia; Cricetidae.